RNAcentral lists this ribosomal RNA (397 nucleotides) under uncultured bacterium. Its description in RNAcentral is "partial 16S ribosomal RNA". It matches the Rfam family "Bacterial small subunit ribosomal RNA", at positions 523 to 918 of the family's 1533-position model. The record is from RNAcentral.
AUACGUAGGGGGCAAGCGUUAUCCGGAUUUACUGGGUGUAAAGGGAGCGUAGGCGGCGAAGCAAGUCAGAUGUGAAAAUCCAGUGCCCAACAUUGGACGUGCAUUUGAAACUGUUUAGCUAGAGUACCGGAGAGGUAAGAGGAAUUCCUAGUGUAGCGGUGAAAUGCGUAGAUAUUAGGAGGAACACCAGUGGCGAAGGCGGCUUACUGGACUGUAACGGACGUUGAGGCUCGAAAGCGUGGGGAGCAAACAGGAUUAGAUACCCUGGUAGUCCCCGCCGUAAACGAUGAAUACUAGGUGUCGGGUUUCUAUAGAGAGUCGGUGCCGCAGCAAACGCAAUAAGUAUUCCACCUGGGGAGUACGUUCGCAAGAAUGAAACUUAAAGGAAUUGACGGGG